AGGUGCCUACCUCUCUCUAUCCAGCCACACAAAGUCACAAACACAACCAAACUUUAUCCUCCUCUUUUUUCUGCGUUCUGUGAGUCUCUAACCUCUGUCUCUCCUCUCUUCUCCUCAAUUCUCAUCGAUCAGUCGACCUCAGUACCUCUCUAUCCAGCCACUCAGAUUACAAAGGUCUAGGUCAGUAGGCCAUCAAGCAAUUUUGUGGGAUUCUGGAAUUGAGAAAUUGGAGAAGUCGAGCAGUGAACAAACUCAGAGUCACAGACUAUGAUUUGAGUUCAAGGAAUCAGUUUGCAGGUAAGAAGGCAAGGAGAUGGAUUUUCAAAUGAAUAUCAAUCAACACUGCUAGAAUGUGUUAUUUUGAGGGUUUCAGAUCAAAGCAUCUUUUUGUAAUUAUUUUUUGCUGCAAACUUUAUGUUUGUAUUGAAUAUUUAGCCUCUUUUGUAGGCUCAUCUAAUGAUAUAUAUUGAUCAUGGUUAUUUGAUUUUA
Molecule: long non-coding RNA, 489 nt
Organism: Rosa chinensis
Lineage: Eukaryota; Viridiplantae; Streptophyta; Magnoliopsida; Rosales; Rosaceae
Exons: 3
Source: RefSeq, a predicted model, not a curated record